UACGUAGGUGGCAAGCGUUGUCCGGAUUUACUGGGCGUAAAGAGCGCGCAGGCGGUCGUUCAAGUCGCGUGUGAAAGCCCCCGGCUCAACUGGGGAGGGUCACGCGAUACUGAUCGACUGGAAGGCAGGAGAGGGUAGUGGAAUUCCCGGUGUAGUGGUGAAAUGCGUAGAUAUCGGGAGGAACACCAGUGGCGAAGGCGGUUGCCUGGAGCUUUGCUGACGCUGAUGCGCGAAAGCGUGGGGAGCGAUCCGG
Molecule: ribosomal RNA, 253 nt
Filed under: uncultured bacterium
Lineage: Bacteria
Description: partial 16S ribosomal RNA
Rfam family: Bacterial small subunit ribosomal RNA
Source: RNAcentral